RNAcentral lists this ribosomal RNA (2384 nucleotides) under seawater metagenome. RNAcentral describes it as "bacterial LSU rRNA". It matches the Rfam family "Bacterial large subunit ribosomal RNA", at positions 3 to 2421 of the family's 2925-position model. The record is from RNAcentral.
UCAAGUGAAUAAGCGUACACGGUGGAUGCCUUGGCAGCCAGAGGCGAUGAAGGACGUAGUAGCCUGCGAUAAGCUUCGGGGAGUCGGCAAACAGACUUUGAUCCGGAGAUUUCCGAAUGGGGAAACCCACCUGUCAUAAGGCAGGUAUCACAUACUGAAUACAUAGGUAUGUGAGGCGAACGCGGGGAACUGAAACAUCUAAGUACCCGUAGGAACAGAAAUCAAUUGAGAUUCCGUCAGUAGCGGCGAGCGAACGCGGAUUAGCCCUUAAGUUUGAGACUGAUUAGGAGAACGGCUUGGGAAGGCCGGCCAUAGUGGGUGAUAGCCCCGUAUCCGAAAAUCUGAUCAAGUGAAAUCGAGUAGGUCGGAGCACGUGAAACUUUGACUGAAUGUGGGGGGACCAUCCUCCAAGGCUAAAUACUCCUGGCUGACCGAUAGUGAACCAGUACCGUGAGGGAAAGGCGAAAAGAACCCCGGAGAGGGGAGUGAAAUAGAACCUGAAACCGUGUACGUACAAGCAGUCGGAGCCCACAUGUGGGGUGACGGCGUACCUUUUGUAUAAUGGGUCAGCGACUUAAUUUCAGUAGCGAGGUUAACCGUAUAGGGGAGCCGUAGGGAAACCGAGUCUUAAUAGGGCGUAUAGUUGCUGGGAUUAGACCCGAAACCGGGCGAUCUAUCCAUGGGCAGGUUGAAGAUGCGGUAACACGCAUUGGAGGACCGAACCGACUACCGUUGAAAAGUUAGCGGAUGACCUGUGGAUCGGAGUGAAAGGCUAAUCAAGCUCGGAGAUAGCUGGUUCUCCCCGAAAGCUAUUUAGGUAGCGCCUCGGACGAAUACCACAGGGGGUAGAGCACUGUUUCGGCUAGGGGGUCAUCCCGACUUACCAACCCGAUGCAAACUCCGAAUACCUGUGAGUACUAUCCGGGAGACACACGGUGGGUGCUAACGUCCAUCGUGAAGAGGGAAACAACCCAGACCGCCAGCUAAGGUCCCCAAAUACCAGUUAAGUGGGAAACGAUGUGGGAAGGCUCAGACAGCUAGGAGGUUGGCUUAGAAGCAGCCAUCCUUUAAAGAAAGCGUAAUAGCUCACUAGUCGAGUCGGCCUGCGCGGAAGAUGUAACGGGGCUCAAACUGGUUACCGAAGCUGCGGCUGUGCACGCAAGUGCACGGGGUAGGGGAGCGUUCUGUAAGCCUGCGAAGGUGUGUCGAGAGGCAUGCUGGAGGUAUCAGAAGUGCGAAUGCUGACAUGAGUAACGACAAUGGGGGUGAAAAACCCCCACGCCGGAAGACCAAGGGUUCCUGCGCAACGCUAAUCGGCGCAGGGUGAGUCGGCCCCUAAGGCGAGACCGAAAGGUGUAGUCGAUGGGAAACGGAUUAAUAUUUCCGUACCUUGGAUAGCUGCGAUGGAGAGACGGAGAAGGCUAGGUGAGCCGGGCGACGGUUGUCCCGGUUUAAGCAUGUAGGCAGUGGGAUUAGGCAAAUCCGGUCCCACAAUGCCGAGACGCGACGACGACUGCCCUUUUAGGGCGGGAAGUCAUUGAUGCCCUGCUUCCAGGAAAAUCUUCUAAGCUUCAGGCUAUUCGAGACCGUACCCCAAACCGACACAGGUGGUCAGGUAGAGAAUACCAAGGCGCUUGAGAGAACUCGGGUAAAGGAACUAGGCAAAAUGGUGCCGUAACUUCGGGAGAAGGCACGCCGGUGGUAUGUGACGCCCUUCGCGGGUUGAGCAGAAGCCGGUCGAAGAUACCAGGCCCCUGCGACUGUUUAUUAAAAACACAGCACUGUGCAAACACGAAAGUGGACGUAUACGGUGUGACGCCUGCCCGGUGCCGGAAGGUUAAUUGAUGGGGUUAGCGCUUGCGCGAAGCUCUUGAUCGAAGCCCCGGUAAACGGCGGCCGUAACUAUAACGGUCCUAAGGUAGCGAAAUUCCUUGUCGGGUAAGUUCCGACCUGCACGAAUGGCGUAACGAUGGCCACACUGUCUCCACCCGAGACUCAGUGAAAUUGAAAUUGCGGUUAAGAUGCCGUAUACCCGCGGCUAGACGGAAAGACCCCGUGAACCUUUACUAUAGCUUCACAGUGAACUUUGAGCAUGUUUGUGUAGGAUAGCUGGGAGGCUUUGAAACCAGGACGCCAGUUCUGGUGGAGCCAACCUUGAAAUACCAGCCUGACCUGUUUGAGGUUCUAACUUCGACCCCUUAUCGGGGUUAAGGACACUGUGUGGUGGGUAGUUUGACUGGGGCGGUCUCCUCCCAAAGCGUAACGGAGGAGCACAAAGGUGGGCUAAGCAUGGUCGGACAUCAUGCGGUUAGUGUAAUGGCACAAGCCCGCUUAACUGCGAGACAGACACGUCGAGCAGGUACGAAAGUAGGUCAUAGUGAUCC